AACACUGUCUGGUAACGA
RNAcentral lists this microRNA (18 nucleotides) under Oryzias latipes (Japanese medaka). RNAcentral's name for it is "ola-miR-200a". Its record names the gene ola-miR-200a. Lineage: Eukaryota; Metazoa; Chordata; Actinopteri; Beloniformes; Adrianichthyidae. The record is from miRBase by way of RNAcentral.